AUGAACGCUGGCGGCGUGCCUAAUACAUGCAAGUCGAGCGAACAGACGAGGAGCUUGCUCCUCUGACGUUAGCGGCGGACGGGUGAGUAACACGUGGAUAACCUACCUAUAAGACUGGGAUAACUUCGGGAAACCGGAGCUAAUACCGGAUAAUAUAUUGAACCGCAUGGUUCAAUAGUGAAAGACGGUUUGCUGUCACUUAUAGAUGGAUCCGCGCCGCAUUAGCUAGUUGGUAAGGUAACGGCUUACCAAGGCAACGAUGCGUAGCCGACCUGAGAGGGUGAUCGGCCACACUGGAACUGAGACACGGUCCAGACUCCUACGGGAGGCAGCAGUAGGGAAUCUUCCGCAAUGGGCGAAAGCUUGACGGAGCAACGCCGCGUGAGUGAUGAAGGUCUUCGGAUCGUAAAACUCUGUUAUUAGGGAAGAACAAAUGUGUAAGUAACUAUGCACGUCUUGACGGUACCUAAUCAGAAAGCCACGGCUAACUACGUG
RNAcentral lists this ribosomal RNA (495 nucleotides) under uncultured bacterium. Its description in RNAcentral is "partial 16S ribosomal RNA". It matches the Rfam family "Bacterial small subunit ribosomal RNA", at positions 29 to 507 of the family's 1533-position model. The record is from RNAcentral.